RNAcentral lists this unclassified non-coding RNA (609 nucleotides) under Hevea brasiliensis (rubber tree). Lineage: Eukaryota; Viridiplantae; Streptophyta; Magnoliopsida; Malpighiales; Euphorbiaceae. The record is from RNAcentral.
GCAGACGACUUUAUUUUCAUAUAGUUAAAACGAGCGUUACAGCGACAAGUACCACAAUUACAUUAGGGAGUAGGGAUAGUCUUUCAAUCUAAGUUCAAAACACCAUUGAAACAAGCAUAGAUAGCAAGUUUAUACACAUCAAGGAAACUUGUUUUUGAGAUGAGGUCUCAAAAGUAGUCUUUCAGACGCGUCCAGUGUGCAACUGAACUGUUUGGCUUGGAACAACUUGCAGCACUCCAGGUAACUUUGAGAGCUCAGAAACCUGCUCAGCAGUCAGCUUUGCUGAGAAUCCACUAGCUGCGUGCUUGUAACUGUAUAACAAUGCCUCUUUUGCAGCCUCCUCACUGCCAAGAACAGAAGUUAGGGUUUUGAUAUGAUACUCUUCAGGUUCUUGAUCUUUAGGUUGCUCAGUAUACACUAUAUGAACUUUAGACUCAUUAGAGGGUUGUGAUGAAGCUUGUGAAUCUGCCAUUGUUGUGAUAAAGGCUGUAAACAAGAAGAAAAACAAGAGAAUUGAAGAAAGUAUUUGAUCUUUCUUCAUCAUUUUUAGGCACUAUUUAUAAAAACAAAAGGAUAUUUUUGGGCUUUUUCUCCUUAAUGACCAAGUUU